Molecule: ribosomal RNA, 460 nt
Filed under: uncultured bacterium
Lineage: Bacteria
Description: partial 16S ribosomal RNA
Rfam family: Bacterial small subunit ribosomal RNA
Source: RNAcentral
CCUACGGGUGGCAGCAGUGAGGAAUAUUGGUCAAUGGGCGCGAGCCUGAACCAGCCAAGUAGCGUGAAGGAGGACUGCCCUACGGGUUGUAAACUUCUUUUAUCAAGGAAUAAAGUGAGGCACGCGUGCCUUUAUGAAUGUACUUUAUGAAUAAGGAUCGGCUAACUCCGUGCCAGCAGCCGCGGUAAUACGGAGGAUCCGAGCGUUAUCCGGAUUUAUUGGGUUUAAAGGGAGCGUAGAUGGGUUGUUAAGUCAGUGGUGAAAGGUUGCGGCUCAACCGUAAGAUUGCAAUUGAUACUGGCAGUCUUGAGUACAGUUGAGGUAGGCGGAAUGCGUGGUGUAGCGGUGAAAUGCAUAGAUAUCGCGAAGAACUCCGAUUGCGAAGGCAGCUUACUAAACUGCCACUGACGUUGAGGCUCGAAAGUGUGGGUAUCAAACAGGAUUAGAUACCCUGGUAGUC